Molecule: ribosomal RNA, 253 nt
Filed under: uncultured bacterium
Lineage: Bacteria
Description: partial 16S ribosomal RNA
Rfam family: Bacterial small subunit ribosomal RNA
Source: RNAcentral
UACGUAGGGUGCGAGCGUUAAUCGGAAUUGCUGGGCGCAAAGCGUGCGUAGGUGGUUCGUUGUGUCUGUGGUGAAAGCCCCGGGCUUAACCUGGGAAUGGCCAUGGAAACUGGCGAGCUGGAGUGUGGCAGAGGGGGGUGGAAUUCCGCGUGUAGCAGUGAAAUGCGUAGAGAUGCGGAGGAACACCGAUGGCGAAGGCAGCCCCCUGGGCUAACACUGACGCUGAGGCACGAAAGCGUGGGGAGCAAACAGG